GGUGGGCAUGGGAGGGUGGUUGAUAUUGUUGUUCUUCAGCUCCUUCAGUCUUUCCUCUAAUUCCUCCAUCGGGGUCCCCUUGCUCAAUCCAACUGUUGGCUGCAAGCAUCAGAAUCUGUAUUUGUGCUGGAGAGAUAGCUCAGUGGUUAAGAGCACUGACUGCUCUUCCAGAGGUCCUGAGUUCAAUUCCCAGCAACCACAUGGUGGCUCACAACCAUCUGUAAUGAGAUCUGAUUGACCUCUUCUGGUGUGUCUGAAGAUAAUUGCAGUAUACUCAGAUAAAUAAAAAAUAAAAAAAAGAAUCUGUAUUUGUCAGUCUAUGUCAGAGCCUCUCAGGAGACAGCUAUAUCAGGCCCCUGUCAGCAAGUACUUCUUGGCAUCAGCAAUAGUGUCUGGCUUUGGUGUCUGCAUAUGGAAUGUCUCUCCAGGCAGGUGGUGUCUGUCUCCAGGACCGGCCUAAGCACCCAUGUACAUGGCUGCCAGAGCUUAGAACCCCUUAUCCCGACCCCAUCACCUGCUGUGGAACUUUUCUAGUCCAUCGCCUUAACCACUCGGCCACGACUACGGAACUUUUCUCAAGAAGCUGUACGUGGGCACUAAAUACCCUAGUGCUCCCCAGAAGCUGCUGAACUAGAAUCACCCUAACAUCCCUACACGUGAAUCAAACUGAAUGCUGAAGGACUGAGAGCACAUCCUACCCAAUCCAAACUAGCCAAGUAAGGUUAACAGCAAAAUCAGAAACAGAUUCCCAUUCAUCAAACGUGAGCUAGAAACUUAUAUCAAAAGAUACAACCAACAAUUGACCUUAGGCACCAAGUUCUAUCACACAAACAUAAUCAGCAUGAAAAUUCAACAUGUCCCCAAAGACCAUCAGUCAUGUAGGAAUGGUCCCAAAGGAAAACAACUAUACUGAUCUCAAGACACAGAAUUUAAAAUAUUUAUUUGUAUUUAUGUAUAUGUUCAUGCAUCUGUGUUUGUAUGUAGAAGAACAUUUACUAAAAAGCAAAGGAAAGAGAUGCCUAUAGAGGAAGAAGAGGCAUGAACACCCAGUAUACAGGAUCAGAAGUAGGGAAAGCUCAUACCAUAGUAUAGUUAAAA
RNAcentral lists this long non-coding RNA (1098 nucleotides) under Rattus norvegicus (Norway rat). RNAcentral describes it as "long non-coding RNA NONRATT029450". Lineage: Eukaryota; Metazoa; Chordata; Mammalia; Rodentia; Muridae. The record is from RNAcentral.